RNAcentral lists this ribosomal RNA (380 nucleotides) under uncultured eukaryote. RNAcentral describes it as "partial 18S ribosomal RNA". It matches the Rfam family "Eukaryotic small subunit ribosomal RNA", at positions 592 to 976 of the family's 1831-position model. The record is from RNAcentral.
CAAUAGCGUAUAUUAAAGUUGUUGCGGUUAAAAAGCUCGUAGUUGGAUUUCUGCUGAGAACGACCGGUCCGCCCUUUGGGUGUGUAUCUGGCUCUUUCUUGGCAUCUUCUUGGAGAACGUUGCUGCACUUGACUGUGUGGAGCGCUACCCAGGACUUUUACUUUGAGGAAAUUAGAGUGUUUCAAGCAGGCAUACGCCUUGAAUACAUUGGCAUGGAAUAAUAAGAUAGGACCUCGGUUCUAUUUUGUUGGUUUCUAGAGCUGAGGUAAUGAUUAAUAGGGAUAGUUGGGGGCAUUCGUAUUUAACUGUCAGAGGUGAAAUUCUUGGAUUGCGUUGCGACAAACUACUGCGAAAGCAUUUGCCAAGGAUGUUUUCAUUGA